RNAcentral lists this ribosomal RNA (254 nucleotides) under uncultured bacterium. RNAcentral describes it as "partial 16S ribosomal RNA". It matches the Rfam family "Bacterial small subunit ribosomal RNA", at positions 524 to 776 of the family's 1533-position model. The record is from RNAcentral.
UACGUAGGGUGCGAGCGUUGUCCGGAAUUAUUGGGCGUAAAGAGCUCGUAGGCGGUGUGUCACGUCGGCCGUGAAAACCUGGGGCUUAGCUCUGGGCGUGCGGUCGAUACGGGCAUCACUAGAGUUCGGCAGGGGAGACUGGAAUUCCUGGUGUAGCGGUGAAAUGCGCAGAGAUCGGGAGGAACACCCGUAGCGAAGGCGGCACUCUGGGCCGGUACUGACGCUGAGGAGCGAAAGCCAGGGGAGCGAACGGG